UACGGAGGGUCCAAGCGUUAUCCGGAAUCAUUGGGCUUAAAGGGUCCGUAGGCGGUUUUGUAAGUCAGUGGUGAAAGCCCAUCGCUCAACGGUGGAACGGCCAUUGAUACUGCAAGACUUGAAUUAUUAGGAAGUAACUAGAAUAUGUAGUGUAGCGGUGAAAUGCUUAGAGAUUACAUGGAAUACCAAUUGCGCAGGCAGGUUACUGCUAAUGGAUUGACGCUGAUGGACGAAAGCGUGGGGAGCGAACCGG
This 253-nucleotide ribosomal RNA is filed under the name uncultured bacterium. RNAcentral describes it as "partial 16S ribosomal RNA". It matches the Rfam family "Bacterial small subunit ribosomal RNA", at positions 524 to 776 of the family's 1533-position model. The record is from RNAcentral.